GGCAGUUCUUGGGUGAUGCACCCUGGAAUUGGGCUCCUUCCUCUCUGGUUCCAGGUGUGUCACCCUAGAACCGCA
Molecule: non-coding RNA, 75 nt
Organism: Myotis lucifugus (little brown bat)
Lineage: Eukaryota; Metazoa; Chordata; Mammalia; Chiroptera; Vespertilionidae
Source: Rfam